This 253-nucleotide ribosomal RNA is filed under the name uncultured bacterium. RNAcentral describes it as "partial 16S ribosomal RNA". It matches the Rfam family "Bacterial small subunit ribosomal RNA", at positions 524 to 776 of the family's 1533-position model. The record is from RNAcentral.
UACGUAGGUGGCAAGCGUUGUCCGGAUUUACUGGGCGUAAAGCGCGCGCAGGCGGGCUGGCCAGUCUGGGGUGAAAUCCCACGGCUCAACCGUGGACGUGCAUCCGAAACUGCUCGGCUCGAGUAUGGAAGAGGGUCGCGGAAUUCCCGGUGUAGAGGUGAAAUUCGUAGAUAUCGGGAGGAACACCAGUGGCGAAGGCGGCGACCUGGGCCAAUACUGACGCUGAGGUGCGAAAGCGUGGGGAGCAAACAGG